Molecule: small RNA, 441 nt
Filed under: Pongo abelii (Sumatran orangutan)
Lineage: Eukaryota; Metazoa; Chordata; Mammalia; Primates; Hominidae
Description: processed transcript
Source: RNAcentral
UGCUAAGGUAGCUCUCACACACCUCGGCUCUGGGGUUGAUACCUGAGCCCGCAAUAGAACCCUGAAAUCAAGAGCAUGGCUUGAGUGUGUGAAUAUGAUGUGUGCACAUGCUUAAUGAGCAUGUGAGUGUGCACACGUUUGUGGAGAGGAGGGUGUUCUGGCCUGAGAAGGAGCUCUUUUCUGUUCCCAAGACUCAGGACUCUUGAGCUGUGGCUUACUUGCUGUCUUCACCAGGUUCAAGCUCCGUGGGCCACACUGCUGCUGUGCCAAGAAGGUGUACAGCCUCCCCAGGAUGGGGCCUUGUACAACCCUUCAUCUGCACUCAACAUUUAAUCGUGUCCUUGCUGUCUUUUUAUUUUCCUUUUUGUUUGUUAGCAAAAACCUCUGUUUAGAUUUCAAUAAUCAGAGAAGUGUAAAAUAAAACAGAUUACAUUGUACUUG